RNAcentral lists this ribosomal RNA (2798 nucleotides) under Klebsiella pneumoniae. RNAcentral describes it as "bacterial LSU rRNA". It matches the Rfam family "Bacterial large subunit ribosomal RNA". Lineage: Bacteria; Pseudomonadati; Pseudomonadota; Gammaproteobacteria; Enterobacterales; Enterobacteriaceae. The record is from RNAcentral.
CCGGCGAUGUCCGAAUGGGGAAACCCAGUGCAAUUCGUUGCACUAUCGUUAACUGAAUACAUAGGUUAACGAGGCGAACCGGGGGAACUGAAACAUCUAAGUACCCCGAGGAAAAGAAAUCAACCGAGAUUCCCCCAGUAGCGGCGAGCGAACGGGGAGCAGCCCAGAGUCUGAAUCAGCUUGUGUGUUAGUGGAACGGUCUGGAAAGUCCGACGGUACAGGGUGAUAGUCCCGUACACCAAAAUGCACAGGUUGUGAACUCGAAGAGUAGGGCGGGACACGUGGUAUCCUGUCUGAAUAUGGGGGGACCAUCCUCCAAGGCUAAAUACUCCUGACUGACCGAUAGUGAACCAGUACCGUGAGGGAAAGGCGAAAAGAACCCCGGCGAGGGGAGUGAAAAAGAACCUGAAACCGUGUACGUACAAGCAGUGGGAGCACCUUCGGGUGUGACUGCGUACCUUUUGUAUAAUGGGUCAGCGACUUAUAUUCUGUAGCAAGGUUAACCGUAUAGGGGAGCCGCAGGGAAACCGAGUCUUAACUGGGCGUUAAGUUGCAGGGUAUAGACCCGAAACCCGGUGAUCUAGCCAUGGGCAGGUUGAAGGUUGGGUAACACUAACUGGAGGACCGAACCGACUAAUGUUGAAAAAUUAGCGGAUGACUUGUGGCUGGGGGUGAAAGGCCAAUCAAACCGGGAGAUAGCUGGUUCUCCCCGAAAGCUAUUUAGGUAGCGCCUCGUGAACUCAUCUUCGGGGGUAGAGCACUGUUUCGGCUAGGGGGUCAUCCCGACUUACCAACCCGAUGCAAACUACGAAUACCGAAGAAUGUUAUCACGGGAGACACACGGCGGGUGCUAACGUCCGUCGUGAAGAGGGAAACAACCCAGACCGCCAGCUAAGGUCCCAAAGUCAUGGUUAAGUGGGAAACGAUGUGGGAAGGCACAGACAGCCAGGAUGUUGGCUUAGAAGCAGCCAUCAUUUAAAGAAAGCGUAAUAGCUCACUGGUCGAGUCGGCCUGCGCGGAAGAUGUAACGGGGCUAAACCAUGCACCGAAGCUGCGGCAGCGACACUAUGUGUUGUUGGGUAGGGGAGCGUUCUGUAAGCCUGCGAAGGUGACCUGUGAGGGUUGCUGGAGGUAUCAGAAGUGCGAAUGCUGACAUAAGUAACGAUAAAGCGGGUGAAAAGCCCGCUCGCCGGAAGACCAAGGGUUCCUGUCCAACGUUAAUCGGGGCAGGGUGAGUCGACCCCUAAGGCGAGGCCGAAAGGCGUAGUCGAUGGGAAACAGGUUAAUAUUCCUGUACUUGGUGUUACUGCGAAGGGGGGACGGAGAAGGCUAUGUUAGCCGGGCGACGGUUGUCCCGGUUUAAGCAUGUAGGCUGAUUGUCCAGGCAAAUCCGGAUAAUCAAGGCUGAGGUGUGAUGACGAGGCACUACGGUGCUGAAGUAACAAAUGCCCUGCUUCCAGGAAAAGCCUCUAAGCAUCAGGUAACAUCAAAUCGUACCCCAAACCGACACAGGUGGUCAGGUAGAGAAUACCAAGGCGCUUGAGAGAACUCGGGUGAAGGAACUAGGCAAAAUGGUGCCGUAACUUCGGGAGAAGGCACGCUGGUGUGUAGGUGAAGUCCCUGCGGAUGGAGCUGAGACCAGUCGAAGAUACCAGCUGGCUGCAACUGUUUAUUAAAAACACAGCACUGUGCAAACACGAAAGUGGACGUAUACGGUGUGACGCCUGCCCGGUGCCGGAAGGUUAAUUGAUGGGGUUAUCCGUAAGGAGAAGCUCUUGAUCGAAGCCCCGGUAAACGGCGGCCGUAACUAUAACGGUCCUAAGGUAGCGAAAUUCCUUGUCGGGUAAGUUCCGACCUGCACGAAUGGCGUAAUGAUGGCCAGGCUGUCUCCACCCGAGACUCAGUGAAAUUGAACUCGCUGUGAAGAUGCAGUGUACCCGCGGCAAGACGGAAAGACCCCGUGAACCUUUACUAUAGCUUGACACUGAACAUUGAGCCUUGAUGUGUAGGAUAGGUGGGAGGCUUUGAAGCGUGGACGCCAGUCUGCGUGGAGCCAACCUUGAAAUACCACCCUUUAAUGUUUGAUGUUCUAACGUUGGCCCCUGACCGGGGUUGCGGACAGUGUCUGGUGGGUAGUUUGACUGGGGCGGUCUCCUCCCAAAGCGUAACGGAGGAGCACGAAGGUUAGCUAAUCCUGGUCGGACAUCAGGAGGUUAGUGCAAUGGCAUAAGCUAGCUUGACUGCGAGCGUGACGGCGCGAGCAGGUGCGAAAGCAGGUCAUAGUGAUCCGGUGGUUCUGAAUGGAAGGGCCAUCGCUCAACGGAUAAAAGGUACUCCGGGGAUAACAGGCUGAUACCGCCCAAGAGUUCAUAUCGACGGCGGUGUUUGGCACCUCGAUGUCGGCUCAUCACAUCCUGGGGCUGAAGUAGGUCCCAAGGGUAUGGCUGUUCGCCAUUUAAAGUGGUACGCGAGCUGGGUUUAGAACGUCGUGAGACAGUUCGGUCCCUAUCUGCCGUGGGCGCUGGAGAAUUGAGGGGGGCUGCUCCUAGUACGAGAGGACCGGAGUGGACGCAUCACUGGUGUUCGGGUUGUCAUGCCAAUGGCACUGCCCGGUAGCUAAAUGCGGAAGAGAUAAGUGCUGAAAGCAUCUAAGCACGAAACUUGCCCCGAGAUGAGUUCUCCCUGAGACUUUAAGUCUCCUGAAGGAACGUUAAAGACGAUGACGUUGAUAGGCCGGGUGUGUAAGCGCAGCGAUGCGUUGAGCUAACCGGUACUAAUGAACCGUGAGGCUUAACCUU